CCUACGGGAGGCUGCAGUGGGGAAUAUUGGACAAUGGGCGAAAGCCUGAUCCAGCCAUGCCGCGUGUGUGAAGAAGGCCUUCGGGUUGUAAAGCACUUUCAGUGGGGAAGAAAGCCUUGGGGCUAAUACCCGCGAGGAAGGACAUCACCCACAGAAGAAGCACCGGCUAACUCCGUGCCAGCAGCCGCGGUAAUACGGAGGGUGCGAGCGUUAAUCGGAAUUACUGGGCGUAAAGCGCGCGUAGGCGGUCUGAUAAGCCGGUUGUGAAAGCCCCGGGCUCAACCUGGGAACGGCAUCCGGAACUGUCAGGCUAGAGUGCAGGAGAGGAAGGUAGAAUUCCCGGUGUAGCGGUGAAAUGCGUAGAGAUCGGGAGGAAUACCAGUGGCGAAGGCGGCCUUCUGGACUGACACUGACGCUGAGGUGCGAAAGCGUGGGUAGCAAACAGGAUUAGAUACCCGUGUAGUC
RNAcentral lists this ribosomal RNA (465 nucleotides) under Vreelandella stevensii. RNAcentral's name for it is "partial 16S ribosomal RNA". It matches the Rfam family "Bacterial small subunit ribosomal RNA", at positions 338 to 795 of the family's 1533-position model. The record is from RNAcentral. Lineage: Bacteria; Pseudomonadati; Pseudomonadota; Gammaproteobacteria; Oceanospirillales; Halomonadaceae.